RNAcentral lists this ribosomal RNA (1419 nucleotides) under Pseudoselenomonas ruminantium. RNAcentral's name for it is "bacterial SSU rRNA". It matches the Rfam family "Bacterial small subunit ribosomal RNA". Lineage: Bacteria; Bacillati; Bacillota; Negativicutes; Selenomonadales; Selenomonadaceae. The record is from RNAcentral.
AGAGUUUGAUCCUGGCUCAGGACGAACGCUGGCGGCGUGCUUAACACAUGCAAGUCGAACGAGACGAUUGAAAGCUUGCUUUUGAAAGUCGAGUGGCAAACGGGUGAGUAACGCGUAGACAACCUGCCGCAAAGAUGGGGACAACAGUUCGAAAGGACUGCUAAUACCGAAUGUUGUAUCUUUCCCGCAUGGGAGAGAUAUUAAAGAUGGCCUCUACUUGUAAGCUAUCGCUUUGCGAUGGGUCUGCGUCUGAUUAGCUGGUUGGUGGGGUAACGGCCUACCAAGGCGACGAUCAGUAGCCGGUCUGAGAGGAUGAACGGCCACAUUGGAACUGAGACACGGUCCAGACUCCUACGGGAGGCAGCAGUGGGGAAUCUUCCGCAAUGGGCGAAAGCUGACGGAGCAACGCCGCGUGAGUGAAGAAGGGUUUCGGCUCGUAAAGCUCUGUUGACGGGGACGAAUGUGCGAAAUGCGAAUAGUUUUUCGCAAUGCAGGUACCCGUCGAGGAAGCCACGGCUAACUACGUGCCAGCAGCCGCGGUAAUACGUAGUUGGCGAGCGGUUGUCCGGAAUUAUUGGGCGUAAAGGGAGCGCAGGCGGGAAGGCAAGUCAGUCUUAAAAGUGCGGGGCUCAACCCCGUGAUGGGAUUGAAACUGUCUUUCUUGAGUGCAGGAGAGGAAAGCGGAAUUCCUAGUGUAGCGGUGAAAUGCGUAGAUAUUAGGAGGAACACCAGUGGCGAAGGCGGCUUUCUGGACUGUAACUGACGCUGAGGCUCGAAAGCGUGGGGGGCGAACAGGAUUAGAUACCCUGGUAGUCCACGCCGUAAACGAUGAGUGCUAGGUGUAGGAGGUAUCGACCCCUUCUGUGCCGGAGUUAACGCAAUAAGCACUCCGCCUGGGGAGUACGGUCGCAAGACUGAAACUCAAAGGAAUUGACGGGGGCCCGCACAAGCGGUGGAGUAUGUGGUUUAAUUCGACGCAACGCGAAGAACCUUACCAGGGCUUGACAUUGAGUGGAAGAUCUAGAGAUAGAUCCCUCCCUUCGGGGACACGAAAACAGGUGGUGCAUGGCUGUCGUCAGCUCGUGUCGUGAGAUGUUGGGUUAAGUCCCGCAACGAGCGCAACCCCUAUCAUUUGUUGCCAGCACGUAUAUGGUGGGAACUCAAAUGAGACUGCCGCGGACAACGCGGAGGAAGGCGGGGAUGACGUCAAGUCAUCAUGCCCCUUAUGUCCUGGGCUACACACGUACUACAAUGGGAUGGACAGAGAGCAGCGAACCCGCGAGGGCAAGCGAACCCCACAAACCGUCUCCCAGUUCGGAUUGCAGGCUGCAACCCGCCUGCAUGAAGUCGGAAUCGCUAGUAAUCGCUGGUCAGCAUACAGCGGUGAAUACGUUCCCGGGCCUUGUACACACCGCCCGU